GUGCUUCCUUCAGAGGCACAUAUAUAAAAUUGGAAGGAUGCAGAGAUUAGCAUGGUCCCUGCAUAAGGAUUACACACAAAUUCCAUAUUUUUUCUAGAUUAGG
This 103-nucleotide small nuclear RNA is filed under the name Vicugna pacos (alpaca). The record is from RNAcentral. Lineage: Eukaryota; Metazoa; Chordata; Mammalia; Artiodactyla; Camelidae.